UGAAUACGAGACGCUAAGGCGUCGAAGUAGUGUAUGUCAUACUUCCAAGAAAAGCUUGCACUGUCAUAGAUAAAAAACGCCUGUACCAUAACCGACACAGGUGGGUAGGUAGAGUAUACUAAGGGGCGCGAGAUAACUCUCUCUAAGGAACUCGGCAAAAUGACUCCGUAACUUCGGGAGAAGGAGUGCCUUAUUCUUAAGGUUGCAAUAACAAGAUCCAAGCAACUGUUUAUCAAAAACACAGGUCUCCGCUAAGUCGUAAGACGAUGUAUGGGGGCUGACGCCUGCCCAGUGCCAGAAGGUUAAAGAAGUUGGUUAGCAUUUGCGAAGCUGAUAACUGAAGCCCUGGUGAACGGCGGCCGUAACAAUAACGGUCCUAAGGUAGCGAAAUUCCUUGUCGGGUAAGUUCCGACCCGCACGAAAGGCGUAAUGAUUUGGAUACUGUCUCGGAGAGGGGCUCGGUGAAAUAGACUUGUCUGUGAAGACGCGGACUACCUGCACCAGGACAGAAAGACCCUAUGAAGCUUUACUGUAACUUGAAAUUGAAAUUGGACUUUAUUCGCGCAGUAUAGGUGGGAGGCGUUGAUUAUAAUCUUGCGGGAUUAUUGGAGCCAUCAGUGAGAUACCACCCUUGUAAUGUUAGAUUUCUAACUUUGAAUCAUUAUCUGGUCAAAGAACAGUUUCAGGCGGGCAGUUUGACUGGGGCGGUCGCCUCCUAAACGGUAACGGAGGCGUACAAAGGUUUCCUCUGAACGGUUAGAAAUCGUAUCUAGAGUGUAAAGGCAUAAGGAAGCUUGACUGUGAGACCUACAAGUCGAGCAGGGACGAAAGUCGGUCUUAGUGAUCUGACGGUACUGAGUGGAAAGGCCGUCACUCAACGGAUAAAAGUUACUCUAGGAUAACAGGCUGAUCUCCCCCAAGAGUUCACAUCGACGGGGAGGUUUGGCACCUCGAUGUCGGCUCAUCGCAUCCUGGGGCGGUAGUACGUCCCAAGGGUUGGGCUGUUCGCCCAUGAAAGCGGUACGCGAGCUGGGUUCAGAACGUCGUGAGACAGUUCGGUCCAUAUCCGGUGUAGGCGUUAGAAUAUUGAGAGGAGCCUUCUUUAGUACGAGAGGACCGAGAAGGACAUACCUCUGGUGUACCAGUUAUCGUGCCAACGGUAAACGCUGGGUAGCUAUGUAUGGAGUGGAUAACCGCUGAAAGCAUCUAAGUGGGAAGCCCACCUCAAGAUAAGUAUUCC
This 1240-nucleotide ribosomal RNA is filed under the name metagenome. RNAcentral describes it as "bacterial LSU rRNA". It matches the Rfam family "Bacterial large subunit ribosomal RNA", at positions 1564 to 2814 of the family's 2925-position model. The record is from RNAcentral.